RNAcentral lists this ribosomal RNA (119 nucleotides) under Triticum aestivum (bread wheat). Lineage: Eukaryota; Viridiplantae; Streptophyta; Magnoliopsida; Poales; Poaceae. The record is from RNAcentral.
GGAUGCGAUCAUACCAGCACUAAAGCACCGGAUCCCAUCAGAACUCCGAAGUUAAGCGUGCUUGGGCGAGAGUAGUACUAGGAUGGGUGACCUCCAGGGAAGGCCUCGUGUUGCAUUCC